UACGUAGGGGGGCGAGCGUUUGUCCGGAUUUAUUGGGCGUAAAGAGCUCGUAGGCGGUUUGGUAAGUCGGGUGUGAAAUCUCCACGCUCAACGUGGAGGGGCCACUCGAUACUGCCAUGACUCGAGUCCGGUAGAGGAGUGUGGAAUUCCCGGUGUAGCGGUGAAAUGCGCAGAUAUCGGGAGGAACACCGGUGGCGAAGGCGGGUCUCUGGGCCGAAACUGACGCUGAGGAGCGAAAGCGUGGGGAGCAAACAGG
This 256-nucleotide ribosomal RNA is filed under the name uncultured bacterium. RNAcentral's name for it is "partial 16S ribosomal RNA". It matches the Rfam family "Bacterial small subunit ribosomal RNA", at positions 524 to 776 of the family's 1533-position model. The record is from RNAcentral.